Molecule: long non-coding RNA, 2644 nt
Organism: Orbicella faveolata
Lineage: Eukaryota; Metazoa; Cnidaria; Anthozoa; Scleractinia; Merulinidae
Source: RefSeq, a predicted model, not a curated record
GUCUUGGCACACCUUCCCACUUUUGCAAUAUCUGUCAGGGAAAUUUAUCAGUUCGUCCCCUUCCCCCCAGUUCAAUGUUGUUUAUCGUGAUGAAGUCGUCAUUGCCCGUUUACAACAUUGUCGGGGGAAGGGGGUUCCCUAUUCUAAUGAUGUCAUCAGGUAUUGUCCCCAAAAUGCCUUGUCAAUGCAUUUUCGUGCUAUCUGAUCCAGGUGUGCCAAGGACUUUUGUCGUGGAUUUUAGAAAGCUUCUCUGAAUUUGUGCAUGUAAGACACAGAAAAAAUUUUCGUCGUAGAAUAUUCGCUCAUAGAAAACUCGGGCUUGUAGUCUUGUUGUUUAAUUUUCAAUAAUAGAACCAAAAACGUGCGCUUUCCAAUUGAGGGAAUUUCCUCCGUUGUCACUCAACUACCCAUCCAGUUAGGGCGUACAUUAUAAACCAGACGUCUAGCCUGUUAUAUAACCGAGUCAUAUCGACAUUUUAUGAAUGGGUUAACUUUCAAUUAUGAAGGGUACUGGUUCGACCCUCGGACAGGCCAUUCUUUUUCUAGAGCAAUUGUGUAUAUGUUAUACGAGAGCCAUAGCAAAGAACUUGACGCCGCAAAAACGUCAGGGAGACUGGGUACCAGCUUUCAGCAGUAGGAACAACCAGCGUGGAUUACACAUUUUUUUCUUGAAAUAAAAAAAAAGAACUGUAUUGGGUCAAUAUUGAGCUUAGAUAAAAAGAACGUUCUUCAUAAAGAAACUGGGACGCCAUAUAGUGUUGAGCAAAAUAUGUCGGAACAUCGGAUAUCGCGAGCUAAAGUUUAAAAACCUUUUAUGAAAGUUCGUUAAGCCGGUGGAACUGGAUGCCAUGCCGGCGUUAUUUCCAGUCCAUAUAUACAGAAGGGAGCCGUGGUUUGAACAUAUGGUAUAUAUUGCCAGGAAUUAUUUGCUUUUUUUCCUUCACUGUAAGCAACGGGAUUUUGCGCUAUAGAAUAUAUAGAAAAUUUGGCGCGUAGGAAAGGUUUGGUCAAUUUGUUUCAGUGUGUAAAAAGAAGAAAACAAAUUCCUCCGUACGGCGAGACCGGGAUUCCAACUUGCGACUCUGCGAAUCUAAGAUUUGGCAGCGAGAAGCGUGCACUAAACCACUGCGCCAUCCGGCUUUGACACAACAAUACGUGUAAAAUUUGCAGAAAAAUACAUAACAGUUUUAACAGCGCGCACUGUGGUCAGCUGCAGGAACGUGGUCAGCUGCAGGAACGUAAGCAGCGCAUACAAGGUUACUUUUGUAGUGAAUGUUUUCUUGAUUAAAACUUUAUCUCGCGACCGCUCAUUAAAAAAGAUCUUGCUUAUCUAGACAAAAACGUUAAGUUUGAGGUUCGGCUUCGAAGUUUGUCUAACACGCAAAUAAUUCUAAAUUUGUCAUAUUUACAUCUGUCACAACCUUCUUAGACAAUUAAAUGAAUUUUAUCAGUGGCGAUUGUAGAAAAGAUAAUGGUGGAGUUGAUAAUUUACGCUUUGGAAAUAUUUAUUCAUAAAGCUAGUUUAUUGUAGGUAGUUAAAUCGUUGUUGCGUUAAAGAAUUUGCAUCCUAUUUGUACUAAUCUAUUCUUGCCCUUUUAUUUCAAUUUAGACGGAAUGUUGACAUUGAAAUCAGAGAAGGGUAAAAUAUUUUAAUUACUUGUUUCCGUAGGUAUCAACAUCACGCAGCCCUAAAGUUGAAGAAGAUGGCUUUGGAAAACAUGAACGCUAUCCGGAAAGUUCCUUUGGCAGUUUUUCUGUGAACGCAAUGGGCAAAUGCGAAUGCCUUGGAGAUGACAAAUUUGAAGAAAGAUCAAAGAUAAAAGUCAAUCUUGGAAGAAAAGCAAAAACUGAUGUAGAAAACCACUCCCCGCCACUACCACCAACUAACAUUUCUUUUAUACUUUACAGCGAGAGUUUUGAGUUCCCGUCCUUGUGGUACAACUUGGCAGUUACGCAUGCGCGUUUAGUAUCAAACUUUUCAAUAAAUUUUUUCUAAGUCUUUUGGCGGGAAGCGUUUGUAUGUAUAAAUUUCACUAGCGUACUCUCUUUUAGAGGCCUUCAAAAAUGACCAGUUUUAAGAAGUCGCAAAAGAAAAAUUUCAAUCCUGGAAGGAAGGGAAAAAUUGAUGUGGGACACCGCCACCUCCCCACCACCGCCACUAACUAGCAUUUCUUUUAUACUUUAUAACAGGGAUUUGGAACUCUCAUCCUCGUGGUACAGUUUACCUUAAUACGCAUGCGUACUAGGUGAGUGUCUCAGUUAUAAGAAGUCUAGUAUACUGUAUGUUGUAACUGUAAGUAACUGACAACAUCGUGUUGGGUAACCCGAACGUUUUAGCUCCGGGUUGCCCCGAAGACACGAAGUUGUCAGACACUUACAGUUACUACAUACAGUAUACUCGACUUCUUUCAACUGAGACACUUACAUAGUAUGCAUGCGUGUUUGAGGUUACUGUUCCACAUCAAUUUUUGCUUUCCCUCCAGGAUUGAAAAUUUUCUUUCUGUCACUCGUCAUUUGUAACGCAUCUGCAAAAGAGUCUUGCAAGGAUAGCUUUCAGUAAACUGACACAAGUUUGUAAAAUUAUAAAAGUAAUUUAUUUUCUGAAAUUGCUACAAACAAAAAUCAAUAAAAGUUAAUAAAACAA